This 263-nucleotide ribosomal RNA is filed under the name uncultured bacterium. RNAcentral's name for it is "partial 16S ribosomal RNA". It matches the Rfam family "Bacterial small subunit ribosomal RNA", at positions 793 to 1055 of the family's 1533-position model. The record is from RNAcentral.
GUCCACGCCGUAAACGAUGUCAACUAGCCGUUGGAAUCCUUGAGAUUUUAGUGGCGCAGCUAACGCAUUAAGUUGACCGCCUGGGGAGUACGGCCGCAAGGUUAAAACUCAAAUGAAUUGACGGGGGCCCGCACAAGCGGUGGAGCAUGUGGUUUAAUUCGAAGCAACGCGAAGAACCUUACCAGGCCUUGACAUCCAGUGAACUUACCAGAGAUGGUUUGGUGCCUUCGGGAACACUGAGACAGGUGCUGCAUGGCUGUCGU